CCGGUAACCACCAAGAAAAAAGUUCCCGGGCUAACUACGUGCCAGCAGCCGCGGUUAAUACGUAGGGAGCAGCGUGUUCGGAAUUUAUUGGGCGUAAAGAGCGCGUAGGUGGUUUGAUAAGUCCCGGUGUGAAAGCCCCACAGCUUAACUGUGGAACUGCAUCGGAAACUGCCAGACUAGAGUGCGGGAGAGGAGAGUGGAAUUCCCAGUGUAGAGGUGAAAUUCGUAGAUACUGGGAGGAACACCGGUGGCGAAGGCGGCUCUCUGGACCGCAACUGACGCUGAGGCGCGAAAGCUAGGGGAGCAAACGGGAUUAGAUACCCCGGUAGUCCUAGCCGUAAACGAUGGGCACUAGGUGUAGGGGGUAUUGACCCCUUCUGUGCCGCAGCUAACGCAUUAAGUGCCCCGCCUGGGGAGUACGGUCGCAAGACUAAAACUCAAAGGAAUUGACGGGGGCCCGCACAAGCGGUGGAGCAUGUGGUUUAAUUCGACGCAACGCGAAGAACCUUACCUGGGUUUGACAUCCCUUGACCGCAGCAGAGAUGCUGCUUUCCUUCGGGACAAGGUGACAGGUGCUGCAUGGCUGUCGUCAGCUCGUGUCGUGAGAUGUUGGGUUAAGUCCCGCAACGAGCGCAACCCAUGCCCUUAGUUGCCAGCGAGUAAUGUCGGGAACUCUAAGGGAACUGCCGGUGACAAACCGGAGGAAGGUGUGGAUGACGUCAAGUCCUCAUGGCCCUUAUGCCCAGGGCUACACACGUGCUACAAUGGUCGGUACAGAGGGUCGCGAGUCCGUGAGGAGGAGCUAAUCCCACAAAGCCGGCCUCAGUUCAGAUUGCAGGCUGCAACCCGCCUGCAUGAAGGUGGAAUCGCUAGUAAUCCCGGAUCAGCAUGCCGGGGUGAAUACGUUCCCGGGCCUUGUACACACCGCCCGUCACACCACGAAAGCCAGUUGUACCAGAAGUCGCUGGGCCAACCCGCAAGGGAGGCAGGUGCCGAAGGUAUGGCCGGUGAUUGGGGUGAAGUCGUAACAAGGUAACC
Molecule: ribosomal RNA, 1038 nt
Filed under: uncultured bacterium
Lineage: Bacteria
Description: bacterial SSU rRNA
Rfam family: Bacterial small subunit ribosomal RNA
Source: RNAcentral